Molecule: ribosomal RNA, 795 nt
Filed under: uncultured bacterium
Lineage: Bacteria
Description: bacterial SSU rRNA
Rfam family: Bacterial small subunit ribosomal RNA
Source: RNAcentral
AGAGUUUGAUCAUGGCUCAGAUUGAACGCUGGCGGCAUGCCUAACACAUGCAAGUCGAACGGCAGCACGGGUACUUGUACCUGGUGGCGAGUGGCGAACGGGUGAGUAACAUAUCGGAACGUAUCCAAUAAUGGGGGAUAACGAGUCGAAAGAUUCGCUAAUACCGCAUACGCCCUACGGGGGAAAGCUAGGGACCUUCGGGCCUGGCGUUAAUGGAGCGGCCGAUAUCUGAUUAGCUAGUUGGUGAGGUAAAGGCUCACCAAGGCGACGAUCAGUAGCUGGUCUGAGAGGACGACCAGCCACACUGGAACUGAGACACGGUCCAGACUCCUACGGGAGGCAGCAGUGGGGAAUUUUGGACAAUGGGGGCAACCCUGAUCCAGCCAUUCCGCGUGAGUGAAGAAGGCCUUCGGGUUGUAAAGCUCUUUCGCAAGGGAAGAAAACUUAUCCUCUAACAUAGGAUGAGGUUGACGGUACCUUGAUAAGAAGCACCGGCUAACUACGUGCCAGCAGCCGCGGUAAUACGUAGGGUGCGAGCGUUAAUCGGAAUUACUGGGCGUAAAGCGUGCGCAGGCUGUUUUGUAAGUCAGAUGUGAAAUCCCCGAGCUCAACUUGGGAACUGCGUUUGAAACUACAAGACUAGAAUAUGUCAGAGGGGGGUAGAAUUCCACGUGUAGCAGUGAAAUGCGUAGAGAUGUGGAGGAAUACCAAUGGCGAAGGCAGCCCCCUGGGAUAAUAUUGACGCUCAUGCACGAAAGCGUGGGGAGCAAACAGGAUUAGAUACCCCGGUAGUCC